GACGAACCGUGCGAACGUUGUUCGGAAUCACUGGGCUUAAAGGGCGCGUAGGCGGGCUCACAAGUCAGGGGUGAAAGCCCACGGCUCAACCGUGGAAGGGCCUUUGAUACUGUGGGCCUCGAGGGGGGUAGGGGCGUGCGGAACUUCCGGUGGAGCGGUGAAAUGCGUAGAUAUCGGAAGGAACAUCGGUGGCGAAAGCGGCGCGCUGGACCCCUUCUGACGCUGAGGCGCGAAAGCCAGGGGAGCAAACGGG
This 253-nucleotide ribosomal RNA is filed under the name uncultured bacterium. RNAcentral describes it as "partial 16S ribosomal RNA". It matches the Rfam family "Bacterial small subunit ribosomal RNA", at positions 524 to 776 of the family's 1533-position model. The record is from RNAcentral.